This 1347-nucleotide ribosomal RNA is filed under the name uncultured bacterium. RNAcentral's name for it is "bacterial SSU rRNA". It matches the Rfam family "Bacterial small subunit ribosomal RNA", at positions 28 to 1381 of the family's 1533-position model. The record is from RNAcentral.
GACGAACGCUGGCUGCGUGCUUAACACAUGCAAGUCGAACGCUGAAGCCUGGUGCUUGCACCGGGUGGAUGAGUGGCGAACGGGUGAGUAACACGUGAGUAACCUGCCCCUGACUUCGGGAUAAGCCCGGGAAACUGGGUCUAAUACCGGAUACGACUGCCGGACGCAUGUCUGGUGGUGGAAAGUUUUUUCGGUUGGGGAUGGGCUCGCGGCCUAUCAGUUUGUUGGUGAGGUAAUGGCCCACCAAGACGACGACGGGUAGCCGGCCUGGGAGGGCGACCGGCCACACUGGGACUGAGACACGGCCCAGACUCCUACGGGAGGCAGCAGUGGGGAAUAUUGCACAAUGGGGGAAACCCUGAUGCAGCGACGCAGCGUGCGGGAUGACGGCCUUCGGGUCGUAAACCGCUUUCAGCAGGGAAGAAGCGCAAGUGACGGUACCUGCAGAAGAAGUACCGGCUAACUACGUGCCAGCAGCCGCGGUAAUACGUAGGGUACGAGCGUUGUCCGGAAUUAUUGGGCGUAAAGAGCUCGUAGGUGGUUGGUCACGUCUGCUGUGGAAACGCAACGCUUAACGUUGCGCGUGCAGUGGGUACGGGCUGACUAGAGUGCAGUAGGGGAGUCUGGAAUUCCUGGUGUAGCGGUGAAAUGCGCAGAUAUCAGGAGGAACACCGGUGGCGAAGGCGGGACUCUGGGCUGUAACUGACACUGAGGAGCGAAAGCAUGGGGAGCGAACAGGAUUAGAUACCCUGGUAGUCCAUGCCGUAAACGUUGGGCACUAGGUGUGGGGGGCAUUCCACGUUCUCCGCGCCGUAGCUAACGCAUUAAGUGCCCCGCCUGGGGAGUACGGUCGCAAGGCUAAAACUCAAAGGAAUUGACGGGGGCCCGCACAAGCGGCGGAGCAUGCGGAUUAAUUCGAUGCAACGCGAAGAACCUUACCAAGGCUUGACAUACACCGGACCGUCCUGGAAACAGGUCUUCUUCUUUGAAGCUGGUGUACAGGUGGUGCAUGGUUGUCGUCAGCUCGUGUCGUGAGAUGUUGGGUUAAGUCCCGCAACGAGCGCAACCCUCGUUCUAUGUUGCCAGCACGUGAUGGUGGGAACUCAUAGGAGACUGCCGGGGUCAACUCGGAGGAAGGUGGGGAUGACGUCAAAUCAUCAUGCCCUUUAUGUCUUGGGCUUCACGCAUGCUACAAUGGCUGGUACAGAGAGAGGCGAACCCGUGAGGGCAAGCGAAUCCCUUAAAGCCAGUCUCAGUUCGGAUCGUAGUCUGCAAUUCGACUACGUGAAGUCAGAGUCGCUAGUAAUCGCAGAUCAGCAACGCUGCGGUGAAUACGUUCCCGGGCCU